GUGGAUUGUGGUAGGGGAGGGAGAUGGGCUACUGGUCCCCUGUUGAAGGGCUGCAGGCACUUCAUGAUGUGGAGUCCAGCUGGUUGACUGCAGCCCUCAACCCCCCCAGGCUCGGGACAUGACUGAAGAAGGAGGAACCAGGAAGUCAUGAGAUGUGGAGAAGCAGCUGUUACUCAAUAUUGCUGCUGCCAGAGGACAUCACCAAAUGUGAGAAGAGACCAGUUGAUAUUUUAAACCUUUUGAACAUUGAGCUGCCAGAGGAAGCACAGAGAAAGAGCCCUCCAUCCCCAGCAGCCAGAACUGUGGGGAGAACACACAUGGACACCCAUCCCUCCUGUUUGUUAAACAACUGAAGGUUGGAGAGAGAAAAUGAGAGGAGACAUUAUGUGGAAUCAGGCCAUGAAGAACCACAAAAUCAGUGUUUCAUUGUAAUUGUGUCUUGAUAUUGAAUAAAUACUGAACAUUCAGUUGGACUGUGUGACAAAGAAAUAUCAUGGCACAAACAUCACAAGGCAAGGUCAGAAUAUCACUCAGCAAGGUUUUUCUUUUUUUAACAUUCUGGGACACUAUACAGAUAUAGUAGCACCCAUAUUUUGGAUUUACUGGGGCAUACAUAAUCUUGAUUAGAACCAGGACAACUGCACACAAUAGCACAGACUCCAACAUGACUAAUUAUCUAAAUCAUUCAUAUUUUGUACUACUAUUGUUUUUGGCAUGUUCUUCACCAGGCAUAAAAAAUUAAAAGAGCAGUUUAAGGAAACUCUUGUAAUGCGUUUACAAAUAAAUUAAGCUUUGCCAGUCA
This is a long non-coding RNA of Dermochelys coriacea (leatherback sea turtle), 802 nucleotides long. RefSeq lists it as uncharacterized. The record is from RefSeq and is a predicted model, not a curated record. The transcript is spliced from 3 exons. NCBI's taxonomy places the organism in Eukaryota, Metazoa, Chordata, Testudines, Dermochelyidae.